UAGGCUGAGGCAGGAGAAUGGUGUGAACCAGGGAGGCGGAGCUUGCAGUGAGCCAAGAUCACGUCACUGCGCUCCAGUCUGGGAAACAGAGCAAGACUCUGUCUCAAAAAAAAAAAAAAAAAAAAAAAAAGCAUGCAUUUAAGCAGUAACUCCCCAUUCCCCCCAUGCACCCACUCCUGGUUAACCUCUCUUCUCUCUGUCUCUGAACUUGCCUCCUGUGAAGACCUUGUGUAAGUGGAAUAUUGCAAUAUUUGUCCUUCGCCUAGCCUCAUGUUCUCAAGGUUCAUUCAUCUGUGUUGCAGCCUCUUUCCAUAAUUGGUUCCAUUUUAUGAAUAUUGAAACUGGCCCAAUUGUCCCAUAGAAGUGAUGUUUAUGGUUUCUUUUAAAUAAACCUAGAAAUUGGCCCUCUGAAUCUUAGAACUUGAGAAAGUUACAUUUGUCCUAUCUGAGUUCCUUUCUCAGGAAACCAACCACUGGGCCUCCAGAUCGCACCAAGAAGCUGAAAUCCACCAGAUCACAGCAUCUGGACAAUGAGAUGAGAGACACCUCACCCUUCAUGAUUGCCCAGCUGGCCACCUGCUCCCAUUGACCAGCUCUUCCUUACCCUCCCUAAUUCCCAUUUUCUCACACACAGAUGCAUUUCUUCCCUGCUAAAAACCCCUAAUUUUAGGUGGUUGAGGUCAUGGGGUGACUCUGAGUAACAGUCAGAGGAACCUCCAAAUGGGUUUCCGAGGUGGCUGCUCUUUACAUUCCCAUGAGCAGUACAGGGGGCGCGGUUUCCCCACAGCCUUGCCGUCGCUUACCUCUCAUUUUCAGUGAUUUUAUUUGAGAAACAUACAUUCACCCGUCCAAACCCAAGGAAUAGACUCGGAGACUUGAGGAACAGGCGGAGCUCGCAGUGAGCCGAGAUCGCACCUCUGCACUCCAGGAGGCUGAGGCAGGAGAAUGGCGUGAACCCGGGAGGCGGAGCUUGCAGUGAGUCAAGAUCCCACCUCUGCACUCCAGCCUGAGCAACAGAGCGAGACUCCGUCUCAAAAAAAAAAAAAAAAAAAAAAGGACCAUUUAAAAUGUUUUCUUACAUUUUAUUGUAGUAAAAUACAUGUAACAUAAAACUUAUUAUGUAAGCGAUUUUAAGUGUGCAGUUCAGUGGUAUUAAAUACAUAAUAUGUCAUCUUGUGCAACUAUCAACCCCGUCUCCUUUUUUCCUUUUUUGUUUUUUGAGAUGGAGUCUCACUGUAUCGCCCAGGCUGGAGUGCAAGGGCACGAUCUCAGCUCACUGCAACCUCCAUUUCCCGGAUUCAAGCGAUUCUCCUGCCUCAGCCUCCCUAGUAGCUGGGAUUACAGGCACAUGCCACCACGCCUGGCUAAUUUUUGUAUUUUUAGUAGAGAUGGGGUUUCACCAUGUUGGCCAGGCUGGUCUUGAACUCUUGACCUCAAGUGAUCCUAUUAUGAACAUGAGUAUAGAAACAUCUCUUAGACCCUGCUUUGAGUUCUUUUCAGUUUGUAUAUGAAAUUGCUGGAUCAUGUAGUAGUUCCAUUUUUAAUUUGGAAUCACCACGGGGUUUUGGACAGCAGCUGCACCAUUUUACAUCCCACCCGCAGCAUCUGUACAUCCUCACAAAGGUUGUUACUCUCUGCGCUCUCCAUGCUAUUCCACUGGUCUAUAUGUCUCUAAAUGUCUGUUUUUCUUUUUUCUUUUUGAGAUGGAGUCUCGCUCUGACUCCCAAGUUGGAGUGCAGUGGCACAAUCUCAGCUCACUGCAACCUCUGCCUCCUGGGUUCAAGUGACUCUCCUGCGUCAGCCUCCUGAGUAGCUGGGAUUACAGGCUCCCACCACCACACGCAGCUAAUUUUUGUAUUUUUAGUAGAGACGGGGUUUCACCAUGUCGGCCAGGAUGCUCUCAAUCUCUUGACCUCGUGAUCUGCCUGCCUCAGCCACCCAAAGUGUUGGGAUUACAGGCGUGAGCCACCGCGCCUGGCCACCGCCCGAUUUUUUUUCUAUUGAUUUCCUGUUUUCAAUUUCAUUGAUUUCUCUUCUAAUUUUCAUUUAGUUAUUUAUCUUUUCUUCUUCCUGCUUUCAUUGGGUUAAUUUGCUCUUCUUCUUGCUUCCCAAGGUGAAAGUUUGGAUGACUGAUUGUAGAUCUCGCCUCUUCUCUAAUACAUACAUUCCGUGCUAUCAGUUGGCCACUAUGCAUUGCUUUUGCUGCAUCCCACGAGUUUUGAUAAGUUGUGUUUUAUUUUCAUUUAAAAUAUAUAUAUAUAUAUAUAUAUAUUUAUUAUUUUGAGAUGGAGUCUCGCUCUGUCACCCAGGCUGGAGUGCAGUGGUGUGUUCUCAGCUCACUGCAAGCUCUGCCUCCUGGGUUCAUGCCAUUCUUCUGCCUCAGCCUCCCGAAUAGCUGGGACUGCAGGCGCCCACCACCACGCCUGGCUAAUAUUUUUUGUAUUUUUAGUACAGAUGGGGUUUCACCGUGUUAGCCAGGAUGGUCUCGAUCUCCUGACCUCGUGAUCCACCCACCUCGGCCUCCCAAAGGGCUGGGAUUACAGGCGUGAGCCACCGCGCCCAGCCAGAAAUAUAUAUAUAUAUUUAUAUACAUACAUACAUACACACACACACACACAUUUUUUUUUUUUUUUUGAGACACAGUUUUGCUCUUGUUGCCCAGGCUGGAAUGCAAGGGCAUGAUCUUGGCUCACUGCAACCUCCACCUCCUGGGUUCAAGUGAUUCGCCUUCCUCAGCCUCCCAAGUAGCUGGGAUUACAGGCAUGCGCCACCACGCCCAGCUAAUUUUUUGUAUUUUUAGUAGAGACGGGGUUUCACCAUGUUGGUCAGGCUUGUCGCGAACUCCCAACCUCAGGUGAUCCGCCGGCCUCUACCUCCCAGUGCUGGGAUUACAGGCGUGAGCCACUGCACCCGGCCUCAUUUAAAAUAUUUUUAAAGUUCUCUUGAGAUUUCUUAUUUGACCCAUGUGUUAUUUAGAGGUGUGUUAUUCAAUCUCUAAGUAUUCUGGCAUUCUCCAGCUAUCUUUCUCUUAUUGAUUGCUAGUGUAAUUCCGUUGUGGUCUGAGAAUGGACAUUGCAUGAUUUCUAUUGUUUUAAAUUUGUUAAGGUGCGUUUUUACAGCCCAGAAUGUGGCCUAUGUGGGUGACUGUUCCAGGUGGGCUUAAGAAGAACAGGUAUUCUGUCAUUGGAUGAAGCGGUCUGUAGGUGUCCAUUAUAUCCAGUUGAUGGAUGGUCCUGUUGAGUUCAACAUGUUCUUACUGAAUUUCUGCCUGUUGGAUCCACCCAUUUUUGAUAGAGGGGCACAGACGCCAACUAUAACAGUGAAUUCAUCUGUUUCUCCCCAUAGCUCUCUCUCUAAACAAGUUCUUCUAACACGUCAUGCAACACAGGCCUACUGGUAACAAAUUUCUUAAAUUUAUGUCUGAGAAAGUCUUUAUUUGUCCUUUAGUUUUGACAGAUAAUUUUUCAGGGUAUAGAUUCCUGGGCUGGUGGUUAUCUUGUCCAAGCACUUUAAAUAUUUCCCUCAUUUCGGCCAGGCGAGGUGGCUCACGCCUGUGAUCCCAGCACUUUGGGAGGCUGAGGCGGGUGGGUCACGAGGUCAGGAGAUUGAGGUGAAACCCCGUCUCUACUAAAAAUACAAAAAAUUAGCUGGGCGUGGUGGGGGGCGCCUGUAUUCCCAGCUACUCGGGAGAAAAAAAAAAAAAAAAAAAGCUGUUGUAAACAGGUCUUUAAUAAGGAGGUGGCGAGGCUGGGUGCAGUGGCUCAUGCCUGUAAUCUCAGCACUUUGGGAGGCCGAAGUGGGAGGAUCAUUAGAGCCCAGGAUUUUGAGUUUGAGACCAGACUGGGCAACAUAGCAAGACCCUGUCUCUAGAAAAAAAUCAGCUGGACCGGGUGUGAUGGCUCACACCUGUAAAUUCCUAGCAUUCUGGGGGGCCGAUUGCUUGAGCCCAGGGGUUCAUGACUAGCCCGUCUUAAAUAGUGAGACCCCAUCUCUACAAAAAAUAACAAAAUUAGCCAGGCAUGGUGGUGUGCACCUCUAGUCCUAGCUACUCAGGAGGCUGAGGCAGGAGGAUUGCUUACGCCUAGGAGUUGGUGGUUACGAUGAGCCAUGAUGGAAGCACUGUACUCCAGCCUGGGCAACAGAGCGAGUCCCUGUCUCCCAUAAUGAGGAAGUGGUGAGGUCUGGGGAGGAGAGGUGUUCUGUAGCCCUGUGAUCAGGCCUCCAUCUUUGAUGAGCCUUUGCCCUUCACAAGCUCUCAGCUGUCCCCCGCCACCACCCUUAGAGGCGGAGAAUGGCUACAGUGGACUUUGCUGUAUUUCCCUCCCCUAGGUUAGUUAGGCCCUCAAGACCCCAAUAGCUUAGACUCUGGUUAAACUGGUUCUCCUGAGGGCGGAUUUCUUUUUUCUUUUUUUAAGUUCUGGGACACAUGUGCAGAACGUGCAGGUUUGUUACCUAGGUGUACACGUGCCAUGCUGGUUUGCUGCCCCUCUCAACCUGUCAUCUAGGUUUUAAGCCCCGGACGCAUUAGGUGUUUGUUCUCAUGCUCGCCCUCCCCUUGCCCCCACCCACCGACAGGCCCCGGUGUGUGAUGUUCCCCUCCCUGUGUCCAUGUGCUUUCAUUGUUCAACUCCCACUUAUGAGUGAGAAAAUGGGGUGUUUGGUUUCCUGUUCCUGUGUUGGUUUGCUGAGAAUGAUGGUUUCCAGCUUCAUCCCUGUCCCUGCGAAGGACAUGAACCCAUUCUUUUCCUAAAGAGGGCAGAGCACUCUGGCGUAUUUCAAAAUGGUCCCUUCUCCCCUGUCUCUGCUAGAGCCCUGAGGGGGUUUUCUCUGAUUUUCGCUGUGAGAACCUGGCAGCAUUCCAGGAAGUAAAAUUCACAAGAGCAUGGAGACCUCCUGUGAGUGGGUCUUCCCGGGAGUCCUUAGCUCUCAGACUUGUCCACAUGCUACUGAGAAAGCCGGUUGCCCAAAAGAUGGGGUCCUUCCCUGUUUGGUGUCACGAAGCCGAUACAUGAAACCGAAGCCGACUUUAUUCAGUGACCACGGACUGAGAAGCAGGAGCUUGGCCCACAGUUCAACUUCUCAACAGGUGAGCGGGCAGGGGCUAAAUGUAGGGUUUCUGUACUGAAGGGGCUGGAGGUGAACAGCGAGGGGAAGAAUAUUCAUGUCUUCUGGAAAUGGGCGGUGAACUUCCCGCUGUCUUCCUUUCCUUGGCUGCUUUUGUCAGUUGUCGUGGCUCUAACCAGUCUCAACUGUUCGGGUAAAAAGAGGAACUUUUUAUCACAGCCGUCCUGUUUCUUUUUUUCUUUUUUUUUUUUUUUUUUGAGACGGAGUCUCGCUCUGUCGCCCAGGCUGGAGCAAAGUGGCGCCAUCUCGGCUCACUGCAGGCUCCGUCUCCUGGGUUCACGCCAUUCUCCUG
This 5416-nucleotide long non-coding RNA is filed under the name Homo sapiens (human). RNAcentral describes it as "non-protein coding lnc-ZNF778-3:1". Lineage: Eukaryota; Metazoa; Chordata; Mammalia; Primates; Hominidae. The record is from RNAcentral.